UCAAAUGUAAAUAACUUUGAAAACUAAAGACAAUUUAUAUUGGUACUUCUAUUUUAAUAAUAGAGAUAGAACGGUGUCGCUAAUAUGGUCCUAAAGGUUAAAGCAACCCCCACCCACCCUAAGUUCAAAUCCUUGAGAUGUGUCUCUGUUCUUUCAAUUUUUUUUUACAAUUUUAGCUAUUAUUCCAUAAAAUAUUUUUUUUGAUUUUACUAUCUAAAACUAUUUUUUAUUACUGUUUUAUUUACUUUUUUUAAUAGGAUAUUUUUUUAUUUUACCAAAAAAUUGAAAUUACUUUUUAAAUUUACUUUUAAAUAAUGAAUAAUUUUCAUAAACCUUAAAUGUGUGAUAAAAAUAACUAAACUAACUUUACUAAGUCAUUUAUAAAAAUCUAUAAACUUAACCUCACCCCUUAAAUACUAAAAUCUAAAUGCAUUAAAGUAUUUUUUAUUGAAAGUAUUUUUAAAACUGAUAGCAAACUUUUUUUUUGUGUGC
Molecule: long non-coding RNA, 492 nt
Filed under: Brassica rapa (field mustard)
Lineage: Eukaryota; Viridiplantae; Streptophyta; Magnoliopsida; Brassicales; Brassicaceae
Description: long non-coding RNA (BRAP_LNC002276)
Source: RNAcentral